RNAcentral lists this transfer RNA (64 nucleotides) under Anthicidae sp. 1 ACP-2013. RNAcentral's name for it is "tRNA-Pro". Lineage: Eukaryota; Metazoa; Arthropoda; Insecta; Coleoptera; Anthicidae. The record is from RNAcentral.
AGGAAAUAGUUUAAGUUAAAAUUUUAAUUUUGGAGAUUAAAGAUAGACUGUGUCUUUUCCUGAA